UGAUGUGAUGGUUAAACUCUAACGUUGGAGAACAGAGAAGACCCCAGUACAUACAUCACACACCAUGUUCUCUACAUCUCUACUGCUCCUGCUGGCAGCUACUUCCUAUGUGCAUGGUGUUGAACUGACUCAGCCUGCUUCCAUGACAGUCCAGCCAGGCCAGAGUCUCUCCAUCAACUGCAAGGUCUCAUAUUCAGUUACGAGCUAUGAUACAGCUUGGAUCCGACAACCUGCAGGAAAAGCUCUGGAGUGGAUUGGAUACAUUGCUGGUGGGAGUGGAACUUACAGUGACAAACUGAAAAAUAAGUUCAGUCUCUCCAGUGACACGUCUACAAACACCAUAACAAUUCGAGGACAGAACAUGCAGACUGAAGACACAGCUGUGUAUUACUGCGCUCGU
Molecule: non-coding RNA, 400 nt
Organism: Silurus meridionalis
Lineage: Eukaryota; Metazoa; Chordata; Actinopteri; Siluriformes; Siluridae
Source: the annotation of a RefSeq genome assembly